UAGGGAAUAUUGCACAAUGGGGGAAACCCUGAUGCAGCGACGCCGCGUGAAGGAAGAAGUAUCUCGGUAUGUAAACUUCUAUCAGCAGGGAAGACAAUGACGGUACCUGACUAAGAAGCCCCGGCUAACUACGUGCCAGCAGCCGCGGUAAUACGUAGGGGGCAAGCGUUAUCCGGAAUUACUGGGUGUAAAGGGUGAGUAGGCGGCAUGGUAAGCCAGAUGUGAAAGCCUUGGGCUUAACCCGAGGAUUGCAUUUGGAACUAUCAAGCUAGAGUACAGGAGAGGAAAGCGGAAUUCCUAGUGUAGCGGUGAAAUGCGUAGAUAUUAGGAGGAACACCAGUGGCGAAGGCGGCUUACUGGACGGUAACUGACGUUGAGGCUCGAAAGCGUGGGGAGCAAACAGGAUUAGAUACCC
RNAcentral lists this ribosomal RNA (415 nucleotides) under uncultured bacterium. RNAcentral describes it as "bacterial SSU rRNA". It matches the Rfam family "Bacterial small subunit ribosomal RNA", at positions 355 to 787 of the family's 1533-position model. The record is from RNAcentral.